RNAcentral lists this ribosomal RNA (1048 nucleotides) under Conoideocrella tenuis. Its description in RNAcentral is "SSU rRNA". It matches the Rfam family "Eukaryotic small subunit ribosomal RNA", at positions 54 to 1114 of the family's 1831-position model. The record is from RNAcentral. Lineage: Eukaryota; Fungi; Ascomycota; Sordariomycetes; Hypocreales; Clavicipitaceae.
CAUGUCUAAGUAUAAGCAAUUAUACAGCGAAACUGCGAAUGGCUCAUUAUAUAAGUUAUCGUUUAUUUGAUAGUACCUUUCUACUUGGAUAACCGUGGUAAUUCUAGAGCUAAUACAUGCUAAAAAUCCCGACUUCGGAAGGGAUGUAUUUAUUAGAUUAAAAACCAAUGCCCUCUGGGCUCUCUGGUGAUUCAUAAUAACUUCUCGAAUCGCAUGGCCUUGCGCCGGCGAUGGUUCAUUCAAAUUUCUUCCCUAUCAACUUUCGAUGUUUGGGUAGUGGCCAAACAUGGUUGCAACGGGUAACGGAGGGUUAGGGCUCGACCCCGGAGAAGGAGCCUGAGAAACGGCUACUACAUCCAAGGAAGGCAGCAGGCGCGCAAAUUACCCAAUCCCGAUUCGGGGAGGUAGUGACAAUAAAUACUGAUACAGGGCUCUUUUGGGUCUUGUAAUUGGAAUGAGUACAAUUUAAAUCCCUUAACGAGGAACAAUUGGAGGGCAAGUCUGGUGCCAGCAGCCGCGGUAAUUCCAGCUCCAAUAGCGUAUAUUAAAGUUGUUGUGGUUAAAAAGCUCGUAGUUGAACCUUGGGCCUGGCUGGCCGGUCCGCCUCACCGCGUGUACUGGUCCGGCCGGGCCUUUCCCUCUGUGGAACCCCAUGCCCUUCACUGGGUGUGGCGGGGAAACAGGACUUUUACUUUGAAAAAAUUAGAGUGCUCCAGGCAGGCCUAUGCUCGAAUACAUUAGCAUGGAAUAAUGAAAUAGGACGUGCGGUUCUAUUUUGUUGGUUUCUAGGACCGCCGUAAUGAUUAAUAGGGACAGUCGGGGGCAUCAGUAUUCAAUUGUCAGAGGUGAAAUUCUUGGAUUUAUUGAAGACUAACUACUGCGAAAGCAUUUGCCAAGGAUGUUUUCAUUAAUCAGGAACGAAAGUUAGGGGAUCGAAGACGAUCAGAUACCGUCGUAGUCUUAACCAUAAACUAUGCCGACUAGGGAUCGGACGAUGUUAUUUUUUGACUCGUUCGGCACCUUACGAGAAAUCAAAGUGCUUGGGCUC